Molecule: ribosomal RNA, 907 nt
Filed under: uncultured marine bacterium
Lineage: Bacteria
Description: bacterial SSU rRNA
Rfam family: Bacterial small subunit ribosomal RNA
Source: RNAcentral
AAGUCGAACGAAGUAGCAAUACUUAGUGGCAGACGGGUGAGUAAUAUGUAGGUAUCUUCCCAUUGGUGAGGAAUAACACGAGGAAACUUGUGCUAAUACCUCAUAAGUCUUUACGGAGAAAGCUUUAUGCGCCGAUGGAUGAGCCUGCACUUGAUUAGUUUGUUGGUAGGGUAAUGGCCUACCAAGACAAUGAUCAAUAGCUGAUUUGAGAGGAUGAUCAGCCACAUUGGGACUGAGACACGGCCCAAACUCCUACGGGAGGCAGCAGUAGGGAAUCUUGCACAAUGGGGGAAACCCUGAUGCAGCGAUGCCGCGUGAGUGAAGAAGGCCUUUGGGUUGUAAAGCUCUUUCGUCGGGGAAGAAAAUGACUGUACCCGAAUAAGAAGGUCCGGCUAACUUCGUGCCAGCAGCCGCGGUAAUACGAAGGGACCUAGCGUAGUUCGGAAUUACUGGGCUUAAAGAGUUCGUAGGUGGUUAAAAAAGUUGGUGGUGAAAUCCCAGAGCUUAACUCUGGAACUGCCAUCAAAACUUUUUAGCUAGAGUAUGAUAGAGGAAAGCAGAAUUUCUAGUGUAGAGGUGAAAUUCGUAGAUAUUAGAAAGAAUACCGAUUGCGAAGGCAGCUUUCUGGAUCAUUACUGACACUGAGGAACGAAAGCAUGGGUAGCGAAGAGGAUUAGAUACCCUCGUAGUCCAUGCCGUAAACGAUGUGUGUUAGACGUUGGAAAUUUAUUUUCUGUGUCGCAGCGAAAGCAGUAAACACACCGCCUGGGGAGUACGACCGCAAGGUUAAAACUCAAAUGAAUUGACGGGGACCCGCACAAGUAGUGGAGCAUGUGGUUUAAUUCGAAGAUACGCGCAGAACCUUACCAACACUUGACAUGUUCGUCGCGACUUUAAGAGAUUAAAG